RNAcentral lists this non-coding RNA (142 nucleotides) under Herbinix luporum. Its description in RNAcentral is "FMN riboswitch aptamer (RFN element)". It matches the Rfam family "FMN riboswitch aptamer (RFN element)". Rfam says of the family: The RFN element is a highly conserved domain that is found frequently in the 5'-untranslated regions of prokaryotic mRNAs that encode for flavin mononucleotide (FMN) biosynthesis and transport proteins. RNAcentral also lists the same sequence under 1 other name. Lineage: Bacteria; Bacillati; Bacillota; Clostridia; Lachnospirales; Lachnospiraceae. The record is from Rfam by way of RNAcentral.
GUAAAUCUUCGGGGCAGGGUGAAAUUCCCGACCGGCGGUUAUAGUCCGCGACUCAUGGUGAAAUAUAUAGCUUUGUUUUCACUAUGACUGAUUUGGUGAAAUUCCAAAACCGACAGUAAAGUCUGGAUGCGAGAAGAAUAAU